AUGCUAUGCGCCUCCACCUCCUCUUCCAAUUCCCGUAGCACCCUGCCCUCUCCUUUCCUCUCUGUCUCUCCAGAAACUCUCUCCAAUGGUGCUGCAUGGACGACAGCGCUCGAUUCCAGUGACACGAACCAUCCCCGUCCAUUUCCUUGCGCCAGGACCUACUCCUCCAUGCUGCAACUCCAUUCAGAGAAGAAGGAACGUGUUCCAUCGACCGCACACGAAGAAUUUUACAUGUCCGUCCACACUGUUCGUCAAGUUCAUCGCAUCGAUUCGUCAAGCUCGGUGAGCACCUCUCCAAUUCCUUUUGCGGGCAUCGUCCUUGAAUCAGUUCUCAUCUAUUUGACAUCAUGGUUCGGCCUAUUUCUUUAG
This 369-nucleotide ribosomal RNA is filed under the name Triticum aestivum (bread wheat). RNAcentral's name for it is "partial small subunit ribosomal RNA". The record is from RNAcentral. Lineage: Eukaryota; Viridiplantae; Streptophyta; Magnoliopsida; Poales; Poaceae.